GAUGAACGCUGGCGGCGUGCCUAAUACAUGCAAGUCGAGCGAACAGACGAGGAGCUUGCUCCUCUGACGUUAGCGGCGGACGGGUGAGUAACACGUGGAUAACCUACCUAUAAGACUGGGAUAACUUCGGGAAACCGGAGCUAAUACCGGAUAAUAUAUUGAACCGCAUGGUUCAAUAGUGAAAGACGGGUUUGCUGUCACUUAUAGAUGGAUCCGCGCCGCAUUAGCUAGUUGGUAAGGUAACGGCUUAGCAAGGCGACGAUGCGUAGCCGACCUGAGAGGGUGAUCGGCCACACUGGAACGGAGACACGGUCCAGACUCCUACGGGAGGCAGCAGUAGGGAAUCGUCCGCAGUGGGCGAAAGCAUGACGGAGCAACGCCGCGUGAGUGAUGAAGGUCUUCGGAUCGUAAAACUCUGUUAUUAGGGAAGAACAAAUGUGUAAGUAACUAUGCACGUCUUGACGGUACCUAAUCAGAAAGCCACGGCUAACUACGUG
This 497-nucleotide ribosomal RNA is filed under the name uncultured bacterium. RNAcentral's name for it is "partial 16S ribosomal RNA". It matches the Rfam family "Bacterial small subunit ribosomal RNA", at positions 28 to 507 of the family's 1533-position model. The record is from RNAcentral.